UACGGAGGAUCCGAGCGUUAUCCGGAUUUAUUGGGUUUAAAGGGUGCGCAGGCGGGAGAUUAAGUCGGCGGUGAAAUUUUGCAGCUCAACUGUAAAAGUGCCUUCGAUACUGGUUUCCUUGAGUGUGGAUGAAGUAGGCGGAAUUUGUGGUGUAGCGGUGAAAUGCUUAGAUAUCACGAGGAACUCCGAUUGCGCAGGCAGCUUACUAAACCACUACUGACGCUCAGGCACGAAGGCGUGGGGAUCAAACAGGAUUAGAUACCCGUGUAGU
This 271-nucleotide ribosomal RNA is filed under the name uncultured prokaryote. Its description in RNAcentral is "partial 16S ribosomal RNA". It matches the Rfam family "Bacterial small subunit ribosomal RNA", at positions 524 to 794 of the family's 1533-position model. The record is from RNAcentral.